Molecule: small nuclear RNA, 127 nt
Filed under: Neogobius melanostomus (round goby)
Lineage: Eukaryota; Metazoa; Chordata; Actinopteri; Gobiiformes; Gobiidae
Description: U4 spliceosomal RNA (ENSNMLG00000021108.1)
Rfam family: U4 spliceosomal RNA
About the family: U4 small nuclear RNA (U4 snRNA) is a component of the major U2-dependent spliceosome. The structure of U4 snRNA from yeast and human has been reported. U4 snRNA presents a k-turn RNA motif in the 5p-SL related to recognition of Snu13 protein.
Source: Rfam by way of RNAcentral
AGCUUUGCGCAGUGCAGUAUUGUAGCUAUUGAGGUUUAUCCGAGGCGCGAUUAUUGCUAGUUGAAAACUUUUCAAUCUUAACACUUCAAUAAUAACAUUUAUAAACUUUGGACACAUAGCUUUUUAC